UGGUUCCUGAGAAGAUUUUUAAAGAUGCCACUAAAUUUUCAUGAACUCUUCAUUAUCUCUCCUUGAAAGAAGGCAUGGCACUUCCUGUGAACAAACUUAAAUCCUCUUCACCCAAGGAUGCUUUGUCACAUUUGCAGGUUAAAAAAAAUGGAGUACAUUGUUAUGAUGACCAGACUCGAAGGCAUUCAUGUAAUUGGGUGAAUCACAGAGUCUCAGGAAUCUUCUGGACUAACCAAAAGUGAUGGCUGAAACAAAUAUUAACUGGUAGUCUACUUAGUGAUCUGGACACUGGAUAAGGCAGAAACCAUUUUCAACAGAACUGUUAAGAGUGUAAAUAAAAAAAAAACAAGAUACCCACUCUCCAACUCAUUCAUAGCUUCAUUCUUGGCUUCAUUGUGUUGAAUAUGAGUCAAGACUUUUCUAUUGUACCAAGGCUGAAGGGACUUUCAAACCAUAAACAACAUCACCACAGAGCA
Long non-coding RNA from Saccostrea echinata, 476 nucleotides. RefSeq lists it as uncharacterized. The transcript has 3 exons. The record is from RefSeq and is a predicted model, not a curated record. NCBI's taxonomy places the organism in Eukaryota, Metazoa, Mollusca, Bivalvia, Ostreida, Ostreidae.